GUGCCACUGCACUCAAGCCUGGGUGACAGAGCAAGACUCUGUCUCCAAAAGCAAACAAACAAACAAACAAAACUAUACUGGGCGUGCCUGCCUAUCAGACACCCAAUCUUGCAAGACCACCAUUAAAAGUCUCACUUUUGCUGUUCUCCGAGUCUCUGAAUCCAUUCUUUGGGUUUGGAAGGGUGAGUUUGUUUUUCACAAUCUGGUGGCCAUACGGGGAUCUCUGUGCCUGCAUGGAGAGGGGAGACGUGCCCCACUUGAUUUAUGUGGCCCGCUCUGUCUGGAUGUCCCGGCUCCCCACAGAAGCCACAGACAAACCGGAGACCAUGAUUCAGGAGAUAACAAAAGUGACACAGGAAGAAAAGCAGGCACCGCGGCAACCAGACAACCUCGUGCACGAACCACGGUGGGAAAAUGGGACUGUCACCACUUCCAGCCUGGCGACUUGGUGCUAAUUAAGACUUGGAAGGAAGACAAUCUCCACCCAAGCUGGGAAGGUUCCUAUCAAGUGCUCGUGAUCACUGAGACAGCCGUAGGAACAGCUGAACGGGGUGGACACUCACACUCGGGUCAAGAGACUGGUAAAAGAAACCCCAGAAGGAAGGGAAAAAGAAACUUUGCUCUGGUGGAGGAAACAAACAUGGACACAUUGUGAGAGUUCCAGGAAGUGGCCACUUGGAGGUGGUAUCAAAGUGCUGUGGGAAUCCACUUGGGAUUGCUGGGUAUGUCACUGUCAAGGGGAGGGAGCUGAGUUUCAGCUUGAUCCUUCAAGACAGGCACUCAAGUGUGGAAAGGGAUGGGCCAUGGGCAUGUUUCCAUAGGACCAGAGAUAGACCUAGGUUCAAAUCCUGACUCAAACUACUUAUUAGCUUUAUGAUAAUGAGAAAGUUACUUACACUCUCUGAGCUUCAGUUUCCUUAUCUGUGAAAUGGAGAUGAUAACAUUUACAUAUAUUGCUAGUUUAUUGUGAAUACUUUAAAAGAAGUAAUUGUAUUAGUCCAUUUUUUGCUGCUGUGAAUACAUACACGAGACUGGGUAAUUUAUAAAGGAAAGAGGUUUAAUUGACUCAAUUCAGCAUGGCUGGGGAGGUCUCAGGAAACUUACUAUCAUGGCAGAAAGGGAAGCAAACGUGUCCUUCUUCACAUGGCAGCAGGGAGAAGAAGAAUGAGUGAAAAGGGAAAAGCCCCUUUUAAAACCAUCAUAUCUCGUGAGAACUCACUAUCAUGAGAACAGCAUGGAGGUAACUACCCCCACGAUUCAAUUACCUCCCACUGGGUCCCUCCCACGACAGGUGGGGAUUAUGGAAACUACAAGAUGAGAUUUGGGUGGGGAUACAGCCAAACCAUAUCAAUAAUAUAUAAAGAAUCAAGCCCUCCAUAAAUAGUUAUUAGUAGUACUAUUAUUGUUCCAGGUCCCAUCCUCCAGGAAACCUUUCUUGAUUGCUCUCAAUGAUCUCUCUCCUCUGAAUUCCAGGAAAAGCCAUUGCGCUGAUUGCUUGGCUUUAUUACACAGUGCUUUGUACUAUUGAUAUUGUGAGUUUGAAUCUCAGUUCAUAAACUUAUACAUGCCCAAAACAUCUAAUUUCUUCAUAUUCUGGAAAUCAAAUUAACUUCAACCUUUAGUCUCUAUCCCAUCAAAAUGGCUGUCAAUUCAACUUAGGGGGACUUCCCUGAAUUGUGCCAACGUUCUGCGACUCCUGCAGUGAUAUGGCAUUAGAGGAGCCUCCUAGUCUACUGUCCAUCCAGGUUACCAUUUAAUGCCCCAGCCCUCAUCACCUUGAUUCGUGUCUCUGCUUCAUAGCCUGCCAUGCCUAGGGAAUCUUUGAGGCUGGGAGAAUAAGGUUAAGGAUGCAGCAUCUCUGGGGUCUGACAUGGCCAUUCACCCUGGAGUCCAGCCACAUCACUGGUGUUUUUUCAUCUGAAAAAUGGUAUAAUAAUAAUAGUAAGAGUUAUUAAGCAACUAAUAUAUUCCAGGCAAUUUGCUAGAUCUUUUGAAUACGUUGUCUCAUUUAAUCUUCCCACCCACUCUGUGAAAGAGACUCUGUUAUUACUUUCAGGAACUUUGCUCUGGUGGAGGAGACAAACAUGGACACAUUGUGAUAGUACCAGGAGCUGGCCACUUGGAGGUGGGAUCUAUUAUUAACCACAUUUAGGACUCUUCAAGCUCAAAAACUUGCCCAAGAUCACAUAGUUACAGAGUAGCAGAGGCAAGAUUUUAAUCGUUGUCUCCAAAGUUUGGUUGGUUAACCACCAUGCUCUAUACCCAGUUUGCAGGGUAGUUCUAAAGAUUAGAGCUAAUGUGUGAAAGUGCCAAGAACAGUAUUGGACACAUAAUAGGCACUCAAUUAGGUACAGAUAUUGUUGUUAUUUUUCAAAAGUGGUAUUUCUAGCUGCUGCUAUGAGCUUGCCCAGUUUCCCACUGCAGGGCUGUUGGGAGAAUAGGUGGGAACAAGGAAGCUUUUUAUAGGUUGGCCCAGUUUCCCCUAUUAAUGAGUCCAUUUAUUCAUUCAUUCAACAAAUAAUUUAUUGAGUAAUUACUAUGUGUCAGGCACUGUUCUAUGCACUGGGAAAAUGACAAUGAGCAAAAAUAAUAAAAUCCCUGCUCUCAUGGAACUUAUAGCCUAGCGGAGGAGGGGACAGACACUAAACAAAUAAAAAGUAGAUAGAUGAUGUCUCAAAUGGUAAUAUGCAUUUUGAAAAAAUUAAUCUGAUAGGGGGUUAGAGAGUGAUAGAUGGAGAUAUACAUCUAUUUAUAUAAGGCGGACAGGGAAGACCUCUCUGAUAAAGUGAACUUUGGGCAGAGACCUGAAGGAAGUGAGGAAUUGAACCAUGCAGAUAUCUGGGGAUGUGGGUGACAGGCAGAGAGAAAGAUUCUGAGGUGGCACAGACCCUUGGUAUGUUUGAAGAGCAGUGGAAGCCUAGGGAAUGAGUAUAAACAGAAAAAAAGUGGGUUGGUGUCUUAGAUCAGAAUCCCUAGAAGCAGAACUGAGAUAGGGAUUCGAGUGUAUGUGAUCUUUGAGGGAGUGCUGUCAGGAGAAAACGAGUGAGGGAAACAGAAUAGGACAGGAGAAAGAGCUAGGCAAAGAUAUGGUCUUUAGUUUGAUCCUGUGAGAACUCUGGAGCAUGAAUUAUUCCACAAAGCUGGUUCUACCAAGGCAAGGAAUUGGCCUUUUUUACUUGACCUCGUUUAGUCAUUAGUCAUUAGUCAUUAGUCAUUAGUCAAUGACAGGUCUGCGGGGCAGUGGAGAGCAGUAGUUAAUCUCUCAGGCAAAGCAGAUCCACUUUGUGGAGAGCAAUUCUCCAGAGGAGAAGGAAAUGAUGACCCAUUAGUAGCCAACACUCACAGGAGCUGAGGAAUGGGUACAACUAGCCCUGUAAAGGAGAUCUAAGUAGGACAACAGCAUCCAUUACAGAUGGGAAAUGAACCCUAAGAGGCUCUAACACUUUGAGGUUGAGAGGAUAAAGAGAAAGAAAACUGAGAAGCAACCAAUGAGGUAGGAAGAGAACCAAGAAUAUGUGGUAUCCAGAAAGUCAAGAAAUAAAAUUAUAUCAAGAAUGAUGGAGUAUUGAGGAAAGAGAGGGGGAAGGGAGCAAUUAACUGAGUCAUAUAAUCACUCUGUUAGCCUCCAAGAUGGCCCCCCAAUGACUCUUGCUUCAUGGUACACAUGUCCCCAUGUAAUCUCUUUCUACUUUGAAUCAGACUAACUUGUGUAACCAGUAAGAUAUUCCGAAAAUAAUGGAGUGCAACUUAUGAGACCAGAUCAUAAAAGAUAUUUCAACUUCUGCUUUGUUCUCUUUGAAAUCCCUUCUCCCAGAGGAGAAGCCAGUUGCCAUAUUGUGAGGAUGCUCAAGCAACCUUAUGAAGAGGUCUACAUGGUGAAGAACUAAGGCCUACUAUCAAAAACAAACACUAAUUUGCCAGACAUAUAAUCAGCUUCUGAUAACUGUAGAGAAAAGUAUGGGCAGAAAGGAGAAAGUAAGCCAAGAGGGGAGCUGGAAGUCAGGACCUACUGCCUUGGAAAGCCAUCGUGCUGUGAGGACUCUUCAUCAUUCCUCAAGUCUCCCUCUGAUGCCGAGCAGAAGCUGGACUGUACUGC
Molecule: long non-coding RNA, 4096 nt
Filed under: Homo sapiens (human)
Lineage: Eukaryota; Metazoa; Chordata; Mammalia; Primates; Hominidae
Description: HSALNT0334307
Source: RNAcentral